GGACACCUACGGGAGGCAGCAGUAGGGAAUCUUCCACAAUGGGCGAAAGCCUGAUGGAGCAACGCCGCGUGGGUGAAGAAGGUCUUCGGACCGUAAAACCCUGUUGUUAGAGAAGAAAGUGCGUGAGAGUAACUGUUCACGUUUCGACGGAAUCUAACCAGAAAGCCACGGCUAACUACGUGCCAGCAGCCGCGGAAAUACGUAGGUGGCAAGCGUUAUCCGGAUUUAUGGGGCGUAAAGGGAACGAAGGCGGUCUUUUA
Molecule: ribosomal RNA, 260 nt
Filed under: uncultured bacterium
Lineage: Bacteria
Description: partial 16S ribosomal RNA
Rfam family: Bacterial small subunit ribosomal RNA
Source: RNAcentral